CCUACGGGAGGCAGCAGUGAGGAAUAUUGGUCAAUGGACGAGAGUCUGAACCAGCCAAGUAGCGUGAAGGAUGACUGCCCUAUGGGUUGUAAACUUCUUUUUUAUGGGAAUAAAAUGUUCCACGUGUGGGAUUUUGUAUGUACCAUAUGAAUAAGGAUCGGCUAACUCCGUGCCAGCAGCCGCGGUAAUACGGAGGAUCCGACCGUUAUCCGGAUUUAUUGGGUUUAAAGGGGGCGUAGGUGGAUUGUUAAGUCAGGUGUGAAAGUUUGCGGCUCAACCGUAAAAUUGCAGUUGAAACUGGCAGUCUUGAGUACAGUAGAGGUGGGCGGAAUUCGUGGUGUAGCGGUGAAAUGCUUAGAUAUCACGAAGAACUCCGAUUGCGAAGGCAGUUCACUGGACUGCAACUGACACUGAGGCUCGAAAGUGUGGGUAUCAAACAGGAUUAGAUACCCGAGUAGUC
This 460-nucleotide ribosomal RNA is filed under the name uncultured bacterium. RNAcentral describes it as "partial 16S ribosomal RNA". It matches the Rfam family "Bacterial small subunit ribosomal RNA", at positions 338 to 795 of the family's 1533-position model. The record is from RNAcentral.